AAUGAACGCUGGCGGCGUGCCUAACACAUGCAAGUCGAACGAUGAUGGAGAGCUUGCUCUCCUGAUUAGUGGCGCACGGGUGAGUAUACCAUAGAUAAUGUACCCCUUAGUUCGGGAUAGCCACUGGAAACGGUGAUUAAUACCGGAUACUCCUUCUCAUUAUAAGAUGAGUCGGGAAAGUUUUUUCGCUAAGGGAUCAGUCUAUGUCCUAUCAGCUAGUUGGUGAGGUAAUGGCUCACCAAGGCUAUGACGGGUAUCUGGUUUGAGAGGAUGAUCAGACACACUGGAACUGAGACACGGUCCAGACUCCUACGGGAGGCAGCAGUGAGGAAUAUUGCACAAUGGAGGAAACUCUGAUGCAGCAACGCCGCGUGGAGGAUGACGCAUUUCGGUGUGUAAACUCCUUUUAAGAGGGAAGAUUAUGACGGUACCUCUUGAAUAAGCACCGGCUAACUCCGUGCCAGCCGCCGCGGUAA
RNAcentral lists this ribosomal RNA (476 nucleotides) under uncultured bacterium. RNAcentral describes it as "partial 16S ribosomal RNA". It matches the Rfam family "Bacterial small subunit ribosomal RNA", at positions 29 to 523 of the family's 1533-position model. The record is from RNAcentral.